GGGUUGUGAGGUUAAGCGACUAAGCGUACACGGUGGAUGCCCUGGCAGUCAGAGGCGAUGAAGGACGUGCUAAUCUGCGAUAAGCGCCGGUAAGGUGAUAUGAACCGUUAUAACCGGCGAUUUCCGAAUGGGGAAACCCAGUGUGAUUCGUCACACUAUCAUUAACUGAAUCCAUAGGUUAAUGAGGCGAACCGGGGGAACUGAAACAUCUAAGUACCCCGAGGAAAAGAAAUCAACCGAGAUUCCCCCAGUAGCGGCGAGCGAACGGGGAGGAGCCCAGAGCCUGAAUCAGCAUGUGUGUUAGUGGAAGCGUCUGGAAAGGCGCGCGAUACAGGGUGACAGCCCCGUACACAAAAGCGCACAUGCUGUGAGCUCGAUGAGUAGGGCGGGACACGUGGUAUCCUGUCUGAAUAUGGGGGACCAUCCUCCAAGGCUAAAUACUCCUGACUGACCGAUAGUGAACCAGUACCGUGAGGGAAAGGCGAAAAGAACCCCGGCGAGGGGAGUGAAAAAGAACCUGAAACCGUGUACGUACAAGCAGUGGGAGCACCCUUUGGGGUGUGACUGCGUACCUUUUGUAUAAUGGGUCAGCGACUUAUAUUCUGUAGCAAGGUUAACCGCAUAGGGGAGCCGUAGGGAAACCGAGUCUUAACCGGGCGUUAAGUUGCAGGGUAUAGACCCGAAACCCGGUGAUCUAGCCAUGGGCAGGUUGAAGGUUGGGUAACACUAACUGGAGGACCGAACCGACUAAUGUUGAAAAAUUAGCGGAUGACCUGUGGCUGGGGGUGAAAGGCCAAUCAAACCGGGAGAUAGCUGGUUCUCCCCGAAAGCUAUUUAGGUAGCGCCUCGUGAACUCAUCUCCGGGGGUAGAGCACUGUUUCGGCUAGGGGGCCAUCCCGGCUUACCAACCCGAUGCAAACUGCGAAUACCGGAGAAUGUUAUCACGGGAGACACACGGCGGGUGCUAACGUCCGUCGUGAAGAGGGAAACAACCCAGACCGCCAGCUAAGGUCCCAAAGUCAUGGUUAAGUGGGAAACGAUGUGGGAAGGCCCAGACAGCCAGGAUGUUGGCUUAGAAGCAGCCAUCAUUUAAAGAAAGCGUAAUAGCUCACUGGUCGAGUCGGCCUGCGCGGAAGAUGUAACGGGGCUAAACCAUGCACCGAAGCUGCGGCAGCGAACGUAUCACUUAAAGCGAUUCAGCGGGUUACGAUUGACGGAGCGAAGCGACGUCAAAGCGUAUACAAAGUCGAGUCGGUUUAAGGAUACGUUCGUUGGGUAGGGGAGCGUUCUGUAAGCCUGCGAAGGUGGCCUGUGAGGGUUGCUGGAGGUAUCAGAAGUGCGAAUGCUGACAUAAGUAACGAUAAAGCGGGUGAAAAGCCCGCUCGCCGGAAGACCAAGGGUUCCUGUCCAACGUUAAUCGGGGCAGGGUGAGUCGACCCCUAAGGCGAGGCCGAAAGGCGUAGUCGAUGGGAAACGGGUUAAUAUUCCCGUACUUGGUGUUACUGCGAAGGGGGACGGAGAAGGCUAUGUUGGCCGGGCGACGGUUGUCCCGGUUUAAGCGUGUAGGUGUGUGUUCCAGGUAAAUCCGGUUCACUUUAACACUGAGGCGUGAUGACGAGGCACUACGGUGCUGAAGCAACAAAUGCCCUGCUUCCAGGAAAAGCCUCUAAGCAUCAGGUAACAUCAAAUCGUACCCCAAACCGACACAGGUGGUCAGGUAGAGAAUACCAAGGCGCUUGAGAGAACUCGGGUGAAGGAACUAGGCAAAAUGGUGCCGUAACUUCGGGAGAAGGCACGCUGACACGUAGGUGAAGUGAUUUACUCAUGGAGCUGAAGUCAGUCGAAGAUACCAGCUGGCUGCAACUGUUUAUUAAAAACACAGCACUGUGCAAACACGAAAGUGGACGUAUACGGUGUGACGCCUGCCCGGUGCCGGAAGGUUAAUUGAUGGGGUCAGCGCAAGCGAAGCUCCUGAUCGAAGCCCCGGUAAACGGCGGCCGUAACUAUAACGGUCCUAAGGUAGCGAAAUUCCUUGUCGGGUAAGUUCCGACCUGCACGAAUGGCGUAAUGAUGGCCAGGCUGUCUCCACCCGAGACUCAGUGAAAUUGAACUCGCUGUGAAGAUGCAGUGUACCCGCGGCAAGACGGAAAGACCCCGUGAACCUUUACUAUAGCUUGACACUGAACAUUGAGCCUUGAUGUGUAGGAUAGGUGGGAGGCUUUGAAGUGUGGACGCCAGUCUGCAUGGAGCCGACCUUGAAAUACCACCCUUUAAUGUUUGAUGUUCUAACGUGGACCCGUUACCCGGGUUGCGGACAGUGUCUGGUGGGUAGUUUGACUGGGGCGGUCUCCUCCUAAAGAGUAACGGAGGAGCACGAAGGUUGGCUAAUCCUGGUCGGACAUCAGGAGGUUAGUGCAAUGGCAUAAGCCAGCUUGACUGCGAGCGUGACGGCGCGAGCAGGUGCGAAAGCAGGUCAUAGUGAUCCGGUGGUUCUGAAUGGAAGGGCCAUCGCUCAACGGAUAAAAGGUACUCCGGGGAUAACAGGCUGAUACCGCCCAAGAGUUCAUAUCGACGGCGGUGUUUGGCACCUCGAUGUCGGCUCAUCACAUCCUGGGGCUGAAGUAGGUCCCAAGGGUAUGGCUGUUCGCCAUUUAAAGUGGUACGCGAGCUGGGUUUAGAACGUCGUGAGACAGUUCGGUCCCUAUCUGCCGUGGGCGCUGGAGAACUGAGGGGGGCUGCUCCUAGUACGAGAGGACCGGAGUGGACGCAUCACUGGUGUUCGGGUUGUCAUGCCAAUGGCACUGCCCGGUAGCUAAAUGCGGAAGAGAUAAGUGCUGAAAGCAUCUAAGCACGAAACUUGCCCCGAGAUGAGUUCUCCCUGAGACUUUAAGUCUCCUGAAGGAACGUUGAAGACGACGACGUUGAUAGGCCGGGUGUGUAAGCGCAGCGAUGCGUUGAGCUAACCGGUACUAAUGAACCGUGAGGCUUAACCUUACAACGCCGAAG
Molecule: ribosomal RNA, 3006 nt
Filed under: Salmonella enterica subsp. enterica serovar Senftenberg
Lineage: Bacteria; Pseudomonadati; Pseudomonadota; Gammaproteobacteria; Enterobacterales; Enterobacteriaceae
Description: bacterial LSU rRNA
Rfam family: Bacterial large subunit ribosomal RNA
Source: RNAcentral